Molecule: transfer RNA, 87 nt
Filed under: Clostridia bacterium
Lineage: Bacteria; Bacillati; Bacillota; Clostridia
Also listed under: 2 other names
Description: tRNA-Leu
Rfam family: tRNA
About the family: Transfer RNA (tRNA) molecules are approximately 80 nucleotides in length. Their secondary structure includes four short double-helical elements and three loops (D, anti-codon, and T loops). Further hydrogen bonds mediate the characteristic L-shaped molecular structure. tRNAs have two regions of fundamental functional importance: the anti-codon, which is responsible for specific mRNA codon recognition, and the 3' end, to which the tRNAs corresponding amino acid is attached (by aminoacyl-tRNA synthetases). tRNAs cope with the degeneracy of the genetic code in two manners: having more than one tRNA (with a specific anti-codon) for a particular amino acid; and 'wobble' base-pairing, i.e. permitting non-standard base-pairing at the 3rd anti-codon position.
Source: RNAcentral
GCGAGCGUGCUGGAACCGGCAGACAGGCAUGUUUGAGGGGCAUGUGUAUGAAUUUACGUAUGGGUUCAAGUCCCAUCGCUCGCACCA